GCAUGAUUAGCGGCGCGAUUCGCCCUUAGAGUUUGAUCAUGGCUCAGGAUGAACGCUGGCGGUAUGCUUAACACAUGCAAGUCGAACGGAUUCUUAGGAAUCAGUGGCGGACGGGUGAGUAACACGUGAAAACCUGCCUCUAGGACGGGGAUAACAGAGGGAAACUUCUGCUAAUUCCCGAUGAGCCCACGGGUAAAAGGAUUUAUCGCCUAGAGAGGGGUUCGCGUCCGAUUAGCUAGUUGGUGGGGUAAAGGCUCACCAAGGCUGCGAUCGGUAGCUGUUCUGAGAGGAAGAACAGCCACACUGGGACUGAGACACGGCCCAGACUCCUACGGGAGGCAGCAGUGGGGAAUUUUCCGCAAUGGGCGAAAGCCUGACGGAGCAAUACCGCGUGAGGGAAGAAGGUCCUUGGAUCGUAAACCUCUUUUCUCAGGGAAGAAGUUCUGACGGUACCUGAGGAAUAAGCCCCGGCUAACUCCGUGCCAGCAGCCGCGGUAAUACGGAGGAGGCAAGCGUUAUCCGGAAUUAUUGGGCGUAAAGCGUUCGCAGGUGGCUGUUCAAGUCUGCUGUCAAAGACCGGAGCUUAACUCCGGAAAGGCGGUGGAAACUGAAGAGCUAGAGUGCGGUAGGGGUAGAGGGAAUUCCCAGUGUAGCGGUGAAAUGCGUAGAGAUUGGGAAGAACACCGGUGGCGAAAGCGCUCUACUAGGCCGCAACUGACACUCAGGGACGAAAGCUAGGGGAGCGAAUGGGAUUAGAUACCCCAGUAGUCCUAGCUGUAAACGAUGGGUACUAGGCGUAGCUUGUAUCGACCCGAGCUGUGCCGAAGCUAACGCGUUAAGUACCCCGCCUGGGGAGUACGCACGCAAGUGUGAACUCAAAGGAAUUGACGGGGCCGCACAAGCGGUGGAGUAUGUGGUUUAAUUCGAUGCACGCGAGACCUUACAGGCUGACAUCCGGCGAUCUCUGGAACAGAAAGUGCUACGGAGCCGUGACAGUGG
RNAcentral lists this ribosomal RNA (999 nucleotides) under uncultured bacterium. RNAcentral's name for it is "bacterial SSU rRNA". It matches the Rfam family "Bacterial small subunit ribosomal RNA", at positions 1 to 1040 of the family's 1533-position model. The record is from RNAcentral.